RNAcentral lists this transfer RNA (77 nucleotides) under Bacteroidota bacterium. Its description in RNAcentral is "Bacteroidetes bacterium (bioreactor sludge metagenome) tRNA-Ile". It matches the Rfam family "tRNA". From Rfam's summary of the family: Transfer RNA (tRNA) molecules are approximately 80 nucleotides in length. Their secondary structure includes four short double-helical elements and three loops (D, anti-codon, and T loops). Lineage: Bacteria; Pseudomonadati; Bacteroidota. The record is from RNAcentral.
GGGUCAGUAGCUCAGGUGGUUAGAGCACGUGCCUUAUAAGCACGGGGUCGGAGGUUCAAGUCCUCCCUGACCCACUA